Molecule: unclassified non-coding RNA, 1283 nt
Filed under: Daphnia magna
Lineage: Eukaryota; Metazoa; Arthropoda; Branchiopoda; Diplostraca; Daphniidae
Description: uncharacterized LOC123474004, transcript variant X2
Source: RNAcentral
CUCUUGAGCUUGUGAGCAAAUGUUACCUUCGGAUCAGUCGUCAACGGUUUUCCAUUAGUCGUACUGAAAGUUUGAACACAUUAAUGGCGUCGUUUGGUUGACGCCUUGAUAGCGUCUUUCCAAAAAUGGUGAAUAAAUUGUGCUUCAAAAAAUUGCUCAGUUUGCCGGGCACACUGUCUACCACAUGUUCUAUCAGAGAGUAUUUGAGCAUCAAAGGUUGCUUGGUUUGAAAUUGGUUCCCAAGUUAAAACUUGCUCACAUUUGGCCAUCAACCUGGCAGAGAAUGACGGAUCGGAAGCUACAGAAAAGCUUACAAAGCUUAUUAAUGACACAUUUGACAUUAUGAAUGGACGACACAAGGAUACGACUCUAGAUGGCUGGCGCUUGUCUAUCCGUAGCACCAUUGACUUGACAGAAGAGUUAUUGAAUCCAAAAAACCCUUUAGAGAAAUACGAUUUCGUACUGACAGCAAAAUGGAACCAAGACGCCUUAGAGAUGACUUUUGGGCGCAUACGUUCAGUCGAUACACAUCCAACGGCUGCAAGUUUUCUACAUAUUAUCAGGAUGAUGUCAUUGUACACACCCGCGAAGAUACUAUUGCGGAACGCAAAUGUAGAAAAUGAUGACCAUAUUAGGGUGCUCGUCGAUUUUAAGGAGUGUCAUUAAAAAAUUCCCCGACAAUGCUAAGGCUGCUACUGAUUUAAGGGUAGCAAUGAAAGAUGAUUUAAUGGAAGAGCUGGGAAAGCGUUACGUGAACGAGUUGCCCUUGUCCAAAGAAGAUAGAAUCGGUAACUUUCUCAUAUACGAUGUAGCAGGUUACAUGGUGAAAACGAGAGAAAACCUUUUCGAGUGUGAGGCAUGCAGACAGACCGUAAUUACCAAAGAAGCAGAUCUACCAAGUGAUUUUGACGCAGAUGCAUACACGAGAGCUCGAACCAAAGGUGGACUGGUGUUUGUCACCCUGUCAAUGUACCAAACUUUGUGCGCAAUUGAAAAAGUUGUCUCAAACCACUUUAAGUCACUUAAUCAUAUUUAUAUCACUGAUACAUUCCAAGAGUGUAUAGCAAAAGUUAAAUUAACCAAUGUACUGCCCCUUUUUUGUGAUACUCAUCGCCAUUGUAAUAUGGGAACUUUAAUAAUGGAGUAUGUAAAAGUGAGAUAUUAUUUUGAAUCUAAACGUUUGAAAGAUGUUUUAUUGUCCAAAGAACAAACAACAGUCCAGGCGAGUUUCAAACUGGCCAAAAAUGCCCAUACAAGAAAUUUAAUACAAAGUAAUACUUAAA